This 163-nucleotide ribosomal RNA is filed under the name Paphiopedilum exul. RNAcentral's name for it is "5.8S ribosomal RNA". It matches the Rfam family "5.8S ribosomal RNA". From Rfam's summary of the family: 5.8S ribosomal RNA (5.8S rRNA) is a component of the large subunit of the eukaryotic ribosome. It is transcribed by RNA polymerase I as part of the 45S precursor that also contains 18S and 28S rRNA. Lineage: Eukaryota; Viridiplantae; Streptophyta; Magnoliopsida; Asparagales; Orchidaceae. The record is from RNAcentral.
UAACAACUCUCAGCAACGGAUAUCUCGGCUCUUGCAUCGAUGAAGAACGCAGCGAAAUGCGAUAAAUGGUGUGAAUUGCAGAAUCCCGUGAACCAUCGAGUCUUUGAACGCAAGUUGCGCCUGAGGCCAUCAGGCCAAGGGCACGCCUGCCUGGGCAUUGCGA